Molecule: ribosomal RNA, 3119 nt
Filed under: Streptomyces sp. HP-A2021
Lineage: Bacteria; Bacillati; Actinomycetota; Actinomycetes; Kitasatosporales; Streptomycetaceae
Description: 23S ribosomal RNA
Rfam family: Bacterial large subunit ribosomal RNA
Source: RNAcentral
GGCCAAGUUUUUAAGGGCGCACGGUGGAUGCCUUGGCACCAGGAACCGAUGAAGGACGUGGGAGGCCACGAUAGUCCCCGGGGAGUCGUCAACCAGGCUUUGAUCCGGGGGUUUCCGAAUGGGGAAACCCGGCAGUCGUCAUGGGCUGUCACCCGCUGCUGAACACAUAGGCAGUGUGGAGGGAACGCGGGGAAGUGAAACAUCUCAGUACCCGCAGGAAGAGAAAACAACCGUGAUUCCGGGAGUAGUGGCGAGCGAAACCGGAUGAGGCCAAACCGUAUGCGUGUGAGACCCGGCAGGGGUUGCGUAUACGGGGUUGUGGGAUCUCUCUUCUGUUGUCUGCCGGCAACAGGACGAGUCAGAAACCGUUGAUGUAGGCGAAGGACAUGCGAAAGGUCCGGCGUAGAGGGUAAGACCCCCGUAGUCGAAACGUCAGCGGCUCGUUUGAGAGACACCCAAGUAGCACGGGGCCCGAGAAAUCCCGUGUGAAUCUGGCGGGACCACCCGCUAAGCCUAAAUAUUCCCUGGUGACCGAUAGCGGAUAGUACCGUGAGGGAAUGGUGAAAAGUACCGCGGGAGCGGAGUGAAAUAGUACCUGAAACCGUGUGCCUACAAGCCGUGGGAGCGUCGGAUGGAAGCUUGCUUCCAUCUCGUGACUGCGUGCCUUUUGAAGAAUGAGCCUGCGAGUUUGCGGUGUGUUGCGAGGUUAACCCGGGUGGGGAAGCCGUAGCGAAAGCGAGUCCGAAUAGGGCGUUUCAGUAGCACGCUCAAGACCCGAAGCGGAGUGAUCUAGCCAUGGGCAGGUUGAAGCGGAGGUAAGACUUCGUGGAGGACCGAACCCACCAGGGUUGAAAACCUGGGGGAUGACCUGUGGUUAGGGGUGAAAGGCCAAUCAAACUCCGUGAUAGCUGGUUCUCCCCGAAAUGCAUUUAGGUGCAGCGUCGUGUGUUUCUUGCCGGAGGUAGAGCACUGGAUAGGCGAUGGGCCCUACCGGGUUACUGACCUUAGCCAAACUCCGAAUGCCGGUAAGUGAGAGCGCGGCAGUGAGACUGUGGGGGAUAAGCUCCAUGGUCGAGAGGGAAACAGCCCAGAGCAUCGACUAAGGCCCCUAAGCGUACGCUAAGUGGGAAAGGAUGUGGAGUCGCACAGACAACCAGGAGGUUGGCUUAGAAGCAGCCACCCUUGAAAGAGUGCGUAAUAGCUCACUGGUCUAGUGAUUCCGCGCCGACAAUGUAGCGGGGCUCAAGCGUACCGCCGAAGUCGUGUCAUUGCAGCAAUACGGCCAACGCCGGCUGUGAUGGGUAGGGGAGCGUCGUGUGCCGGGUGAAGCAGCACCGGAAGGUAGUUGUGGACGGUUCACGAGUGAGAAUGCAGGCAUGAGUAGCGAUUCACACGUGAGAAACGUGUGCGCCGAUUGACUAAGGGUUCCUGGGUCAAGCUGAUCUGCCCAGGGUAAGUCGGGACCUAAGGCGAGGCCGACAGGCGUAGUCGAUGGAUAACCGGUUGAUAUUCCGGUACCCGCUGUGAAGCGUCAAACAUCGAAUCCAGUGAUGCUAAGCCCGUGAAGCCGUUCCGGACCCUUCGGGGAAAGGAAAGUGGUGGAGCCGGUGACCCGAUCUGGUAGUAGGUGAGUGAUGGGGUGACGCAGGAAGGUAGUCCAGCCCGGGCGGUGGUUGUCCCGGGGUAAGGGUGUAGGCCGUGCGGUAGGUAAAUCCGUCGCACACAAGGCUGAGACCUGAUGCCGAGCCGAUUGUGGUGAAGUGGAUGAUCCUAUGCUGUCGAGAAAAGCCUCUAGCGAGUUUCAUGGCGGCCCGUACCCUAAACCGACUCAGGUGGUCAGGUAGAGAAUACCGAGGCGUUCGGGUGAACUAUGGUUAAGGAACUCGGCAAAAUGCCCCCGUAACUUCGGGAGAAGGGGGCCACAUCUGGUGAUGAGCUUUGCGCUCUGAGCUGGGGGUGGCCGCAGAGACCAGCGAGAAGCGACUGUUUACUAAAAACACAGGUCCGUGCGAAGCCGUAAGGCGAUGUAUACGGACUGACGCCUGCCCGGUGCUGGAACGUUAAGGGGACCGGUUAGCUCCAUUUCGGUGGGGCGAAGCUGAGAACUUAAGCGCCAGUAAACGGCGGUGGUAACUAUAACCAUCCUAAGGUAGCGAAAUUCCUUGUCGGGUAAGUUCCGACCUGCACGAAUGGCGUAACGACUUCUCGACUGUCUCAACCAUAGGCCCGGUGAAAUUGCACUACGAGUAAAGAUGCUCGUUUCGCGCAGCAGGACGGAAAGACCCCGGGACCUUUACUACAGUUUGAUAUUGGUGUUCGGUUCGGCUUGUGUAGGAUAGCUGGGAGACUGUGAAGCGCUAACGCCAGUUAGUGUGGAGUCGUCGUUGAAAUACCAGUCUGGUCGUGCUGGAUGUCUAACCUGGGUCCGUGAUCCGGAUCAGGGACAGUGUCUGAUGGGUAGUUUAACUGGGGCGGUUGCCUCCUAAAGAGUAACGGAGGCGCCCAAAGGUUCCCUCAGCCUGGUUGGCAAUCAGGUGUUGAGUGUAAGUGCACAAGGGAGCUUGACUGUGAGACCGACGGGUCGAGCAGGGACGAAAGUCGGGACUAGUGAUCCGGCGGUGGCUUGUGGAAGCGCCGUCGCUCAACGGAUAAAAGGUACCCCGGGGAUAACAGGCUGAUCUUCCCCAAGAGUCCAUAUCGACGGGAUGGUUUGGCACCUCGAUGUCGGCUCGUCGCAUCCUGGGGCUGGAGUCGGUCCCAAGGGUUGGGCUGUUCGCCCAUUAAAGCGGUACGCGAGCUGGGUUUAGAACGUCGUGAGACAGUUCGGUCCCUAUCCGCUGUGCGCGUAGGAGUCUUGAGAAGGGCUGUCCCUAGUACGAGAGGACCGGGACGGACGAACCUCUGGUGUGCCAGUUGUUCUGCCAAGGGCAUGGCUGGUUGGCUACGUUCGGGAGGGAUAACCGCUGAAAGCAUCUAAGCGGGAAGCCUGCUUCGAGAUGAGGACUCCCACCUCCUAGAGAGGGUAAGGCUCCCAGUAGACGACUGGGUUGAUAGGCCGGAUAUGGAAGCACGGUAACGUGUGGAGUUGACCGGUACUAAUAGGCCGAGGGCUUGUCCUC